Molecule: ribosomal RNA, 935 nt
Filed under: Limisphaerales bacterium
Lineage: Bacteria; Pseudomonadati; Verrucomicrobiota; Verrucomicrobiia; Limisphaerales
Description: bacterial SSU rRNA
Rfam family: Bacterial small subunit ribosomal RNA
Source: RNAcentral
AGAGUUUGAUUCUGGCUCAGAACGAACGCUGGCGGCGUGGAUAAGACAUGCAAGUCGAGCGCUGAUUACAGGGUAGCAAUAUUCUGUGGUCGGAGCGGCGCAAGGGUGCGUAACACGUGGGUAAUUUGCCAUGAAGUCUGGAAUAACUUGCUGAAAGGCGAGCUAAUGCCGGAUGUGAAAAUUGGGAGGCAUCUUCUGAUUUUCAAAGCUGGGGACCGUAAGGCCUGGCGCUUCAUGAUAAGCCCGCGGCCUAUCAGCUAGUUGGUGAGGUAACGGCUCACCAAGGCUAAGACGGGUAGCUGGUCUGAGAGGACGACCAGCCACACUGGAACUGAGACACGGUCCAGACACCUACGGGUGGCAGCAGUCGAGAAUUUUUCACAAUGGGCGAAAGCCUGAUGGAGCGACGCCGCGUGGGGGAUGAAUGGCUUCGGCCCGUAAACCCCUGUCAUUCGGGAUCAAUGCGUUUGGGUGAACAUCCCAAACGUUGAUAGUACCGGAAGAGGAAGGGACGGCUAACUCUGUGCCAGCAGCCGCGGUAAUACAGAGGUCCCAAGCGUUGUUCGGAUUUACUGGGCGUAAAGGGUGCGUAGGUGGUUGGGUAAGUCUGAUGUGAAAUCUCGGAGCUUAACUCCGAAACGGCAUUGGAUACUAUUCAGCUUGAGAGUUGGAGGGGGGACUGGAAUUCUCGGUGUAGCAGUGAAAUGCGUAGAUAUCGAGAGGAACACCAGUGGCGAAGGCGAGUCCCUGGACAACUUCUGACACUGAGGCACGAAAGCCAGGGGAGCAAACGGGAUUAGAUACCCCGGUAGUCCUGGCCCUAAACGGUGCACGUUUGCUGUAAAAGGAAUCGACCCCUUUUGUGGCGAAGCCAACGCGUUAAACGUGCCGCCUGGGAAGUACGGUCGCAAGAUUAAAACUCAAAGAAAUUGACG